Molecule: non-coding RNA, 780 nt
Organism: Petromyzon marinus (sea lamprey)
Lineage: Eukaryota; Metazoa; Chordata; Hyperoartia; Petromyzontiformes; Petromyzontidae
Source: RefSeq, a predicted model, not a curated record
GCGUUUUAUUUUUCGUCGCGCAGCAGAUUCCAGUGCUGUUGUUGCAGAAGUAGCAUCAGCAGCUGGUUCACCUGCUUGUGGCUUGCAGGAGGGGGUGGCACUCCGCCAGCUCGUCCACCUGGACGGGCCGGUAUGUACGGAGUUGGUGCAACGUCGAGUUCAACGCGAGGAGCAGGCUGAGAAAAUCAGCAGCAUCAGCAGCAGGUCAGCGCCAGCCUGCGCAAGGGCGCCAACCGGAGACACAGCCAGCGGCAGCAGGGUGGCAAGCGACAGGAGACCAUGGGUGAAGAUGAUCUGGGUCUCAGCGGGGCCUCUGCAGAGGACGUGGAAGGAGAGCUGAUCCGGCACGUGUGUGAGACCGAGCUUCUGGCAGCGCGGCCGCCGUGGAAGGCCCCUCCGGCUCUCCUCAAGGCCAUCGCCAGCAUCUUGACGGCCACGAGCGAGCGUUGGUUUUGUGAUGGAGGCACGGCAGCACCAGGCCCUGGCCUCCCUCGCCGAUCUUCUUCCGCACCUCAUAGCGGUAGUGGAGCUGUUCCUGGCGGAUCGAGGGAGGCGGAGGCCGGUGGUCAGUCAUGGCAAUCGGAACGUUUAACGCUCGGUGGCAGCAGCAGUCGGGGACUUCUGCGACCGGCAUUAUCCACAACGGAGGUUUUUUUUUUAGUUUGGGGUUAGAUCGCGUAAAUAUAUAAACGUGUCGUUAAACUACUGAACGCUGUGAAACUUGGGGGGCUGUUUGCCUUUUGGCGUUCUCUCGUCUAACACUGGGUAGUGAGACACUGG